UACAGAGGGUGCAAGCGUUGUUCGGAAUUAUUGGGCGUAAAGGGCGCGUAGGCGGUUCGGUAAGUCUGUAGUGAAAUCUCUGGGCUCAACUCAGAGUCUGCUAUAGAAACUGCCGUGCUAGAGUGCGGGAGAGGCGAGUGGAAUUGCAGGUGUAGCGGUGAAAUGCGUAGAUAUCUGCAGGAACACCCGUGGCGAAGGCGGCUCGCUGGACCGCAACUGACGCUGAGGAACGAAAGCUAGGGGAGCAAACAGG
RNAcentral lists this ribosomal RNA (253 nucleotides) under uncultured bacterium. RNAcentral describes it as "partial 16S ribosomal RNA". It matches the Rfam family "Bacterial small subunit ribosomal RNA", at positions 524 to 776 of the family's 1533-position model. The record is from RNAcentral.